CUACAUGAAGCUGGAAUUGCUAGUAAUCACAGGUCAGCAUACUGUGGUGAAUACGUUCCCGGGCCUUGUACACACCGCCCGUCACACCAUGAGAGUUGAGAAUACCCGAAGCCCAUGUCAAAGUGGUCGAAGGUAGGCUUGAUGAUUGGGGUGAAGUCGUAACAAGGUAGC
Molecule: ribosomal RNA, 171 nt
Filed under: uncultured bacterium
Lineage: Bacteria
Description: partial 16S ribosomal RNA
Rfam family: Bacterial small subunit ribosomal RNA
Source: RNAcentral